CGGUGGAGCAUGUGGUUUAAUUCGAAGACAACCGGACGAAGAACCUUUACCAGGUCUUGACAUCCCGAUGCUAUUCUAGAGAUAGAAGUUACUUCGGUACAUCGGUGACAGGUGGUGCAUGGUUGUCGUCAGCUCGUGUCGUGAGAUGUUGGGUUAAGUCCCGCAACGAGCGCAACCCCUAUUGUUAGUUGCCAUCAUUCAGUUGGGCACUCUAGCGAGACUGCCGGUAAUAAACCGGAGGAAGGUGGGGAUGACGUCAAAUCAUCAUGCCCCUUAUGACCUGGGCUACACACGUGCUACAAUGGUUGGUACAACGAGUUGCGAGUCGGUGACGGCGAGCUAAUCUCUUAAAGCCAAUCUCAGUUCGGAUUGUAGGCUGCAACUCGCCUACAUGAAGUCGGAAUCGCUAGUAAUCGCGGAUCAGCACGCCGCGGUGAAUACGUUCCCGGGCCUU
This 454-nucleotide ribosomal RNA is filed under the name uncultured Streptococcus sp. RNAcentral describes it as "bacterial SSU rRNA". It matches the Rfam family "Bacterial small subunit ribosomal RNA", at positions 930 to 1382 of the family's 1533-position model. Lineage: Bacteria; Bacillati; Bacillota; Bacilli; Lactobacillales; Streptococcaceae. The record is from RNAcentral.